ACGAACGCUGGCGGCGUGCUUAACACAUGCAAGUCGAACGGAAAGGCCCUGCUUUUGUGGGGUGCUCGCGUGGCGAACGGGUGAGUAACACGUGAGUAACCUGCCCUUGACUUUGGGAUAACUUCAGGAAACUGGGGCUAAUACCGGAUAGGAGCUCCUGCUGCAUGGUGGGGGUUGGAAAGUUUCGGCGGUUGGGGAUGGACUCGCGGCUUAUCAGCUUGUUGGUGGGGUAGUGGCUUACCAAGGCUUUGACGGGUAGCCGGCCUGAGAGGGUGACCGGCCACAUUGGGACUGAGAUACGGCCCAGACUCCUACGGGAGGCAGCAGUGGGGAAUACUGCACAAUGGGCGGAAGCCUGAUGCAGCAACGCCGCGUGCGGGAUGACGGCCUUCGGGUUGUAAACCGCUUUCGCCUGUGACGAAGCGUGAGUGACGGUAAUGGGUAAAGAAGCACCGGCUAACUACGUG
RNAcentral lists this ribosomal RNA (467 nucleotides) under uncultured bacterium. RNAcentral's name for it is "partial 16S ribosomal RNA". It matches the Rfam family "Bacterial small subunit ribosomal RNA", at positions 29 to 507 of the family's 1533-position model. The record is from RNAcentral.